CGACGACUGCAAGUCAUAUAGCUGCAUGUCCUACCACUAUCUACUCAAGAAUAGUCUGACUUUAAUGGCACGCACUGCAGAUGACGAAGGUGAUAAUUUCCCCUGAAAGGCCAGCGUAGCUUGGCAUGACAUUCAAGUGACAAACUUUGAAGGUGGUGUGAAGGAGGUCCGCUGCGCUGUAAGUUUCAGAUUGACCAGUGGUGUGCACAGCACAGUGGAAAAGACGAUGAAAAAGCGCUGCUCCACCUCCACAAAGGAAGAAAGUACUAUGCAAAUUGCAAGGAAGAGAAGGGCAACGGUUGAACAAAAGGGUAGGUCCAAUGCAGUGAAUUAAAUCCCCAUUAUUUUCUUCUUCUAUUACAUCACAUCACA
Molecule: long non-coding RNA, 372 nt
Organism: Ornithodoros turicata
Lineage: Eukaryota; Metazoa; Arthropoda; Arachnida; Ixodida; Argasidae
Exons: 3
Source: RefSeq, a predicted model, not a curated record